GCAGGCCUCAUCCGUCUCUCCAUAUAUCUCUCCUCCCUCUUGCUUUUGACAUAUCCCAUCCGCAAGAACGCAACUGUAGCACAGAUUUUCCCAUCGUAAAAAAGCUCAAGAUCCUGGUUCACACCCUCUCCGCCGGUUUGUUAGCGAGAUUCAAAACUUUUGUCUCCUAGAGUGCUCCCUGGUUCCUAUAAUAGAGCAUUCCGCAGUUAGCAUCAAUUCUGGCGGCCGGGCACCGCCGCCGCCCACCGGAUCUGGGCGGUCAGUCGAGCCGCCGCGUCGCCAACCCUGCAUGUCGCGAGGGCGCCGGCCCCGAACCCAAAGGCUGCCGCACGGUGCGCAGGCCAUCGAGCCGCUGGUCUAGAAGACCGCAUGCGCAGGCUACUGCACCGCCGGUCCUUGCAAGCCGCGGACGCAAGUUCACGACGCGCGAAGCACCUCGCGGGCGUGGACACCCUCGCCGGCUGUGACCCCGCCGGUCGCUGGCCACCACGCGGGCACAGGAGUGGACCACGCCGGCGGCCAGCGCGGGCGCUGCUCUGCUAGGCGCAAAGCCGCCGCAGGCCGGUCCUCCCCCGCAGGUGCCAGAAGACAACGAUGUGUUGACGGACUCCAUCAGGCAGGGAUUCACUGCCGGACCUCAUUGAGACGCUGGUGCUGGCCACAUCUCGCUGGCUGCCCCUGCCCCUGGCCCUGGCAGCACCCGCAUUGGCUUCUUGUCGCCGGCCAACGCCGGCUCGCUUCCGACUGUCUGGCCGCCGGUCGCCAUCAGCUAGUCGCCUGGACGGAUGGACGCCCAUGCCGCUGAUCGUGCCGCGCUCCAGCUCUGCCUGAUGCCGCGUCCGCAAAUUUAGUGGGGACACUCCAUAUAGAUGGAAGUUCGAUCCUCUACAGCUGAGUACAAGUUCCAAUGAGCAGAGUAGUGUCAAACAAGAGACGAAGCAAACAACUCUAGCGAGCAACGAAGAUCAGCACUAGAGGUUAAUUUUUUGUGGACAGUAGAAGUCAGAGCAAAUCAGGCAGUUCUUGCUCCCAGGAUUUGUCAAUAGUCUCCAGUUCCCCACUGGGGCAUCCGUCUAUGCGCCGUCAGGGCCAACCGUUGCCAGAGUAACAGAAGUUAGCUCAGAUCAGCGCAGCUCAUUUCUUUGGACUCUACAGAUAAAGUCACUAUCAGUACAUGUAACUUGGACCCUUGUUCAUCUAAAUCACUCUGUAUGAAUGUAUACAAAUAGAUAAAUGUUUAAGUAUUCGUACCUUCAAUCCCCUUCAUAUAGAAUAGCAUUUUAGACA
Long non-coding RNA from Panicum virgatum (switchgrass), 1287 nucleotides. RefSeq lists it as uncharacterized. The transcript has 3 exons. The record is from RefSeq and is a predicted model, not a curated record. Lineage: Eukaryota; Viridiplantae; Streptophyta; Magnoliopsida; Poales; Poaceae.